GACACACAGGGAAGGACUGCUACACUUCUUUCAUUCUAACUCACUGGAUAUUAGAUAGUUACUCAUGUGGUUUCAAAGGACGCGCUGGCGGAAACGCCAGUCUCGCGAACUGGGCUAAUGUGACUUUAUUCGCGCGUGUUGUUUCUAUUAUGCGGUCGAUGGCGCAGAAAAAGAGGAUGGGUGAAACAACGCAGCCCAACCCUGUUUUCAUUUAUGCGUUUUGGAAGAAACAAAAUAUUUUCUUAUGAAGAUGAAAUCAGCGUCGUCUGAAUGUUGGUUUCCUAUGGAAUCGAUGAAGCGAGUGAAAGGAGCAGCAUGCUACCUUGGUGAUUGAUCACUCAAUGAGAACGAGGAGCGCAGCUGCAAUACGAUGGCUGAGGAGAAUAACCUGAAGACAGCCAAAUUAUGGAGGGAUGCUGCUCUGCGCUCCAGGAAGCUGCGGAGCAAUCUGCAGCUAACUCUCAGCGUCAAAAACAGCCAGACAAUUACAUUACCAGAGGACAUUAAAGAGCUCGAGGUCCUCAAUCUGGGUAAUAACUCCCUGCAAGAGCUUCCAGAGGGACUGGGCUCAACCUUGACAAAGCUUCGCAUCCUUGUUCUUCGCAGAAACAAGUUUGCCACUGUACCUUCUGCAGUUUUUCAACUUAGUCAAUUGGUUGAGUUAGAUAUUAGUCACAACUGGCUGGGCCACUUUUCAGAAGACAUUGAUCUUUUGAAGGGGCUUAAGAAGCUGUGCAUCAGUCAUAACAAAAUCAAAUUUCUUCCAUCUCAGAUUGGGACUUUGCAGUGUCUUGAGGAACUGGAUAUCAGCUUUAAUGAGUUGCAUGAUUGUCCCAGGUCAUUCUCCCAGCUCAGGAAGCUCAGAACACUUGAUGUGGAUCACAACAAGCUGCAGCGUUUCCCCUCUGAAAUUCUUGCCCUCUGUGACCUGGAGGAGCUCGACUGCUCUGGAAAUAAACUAGAGGGUCUUCCUGGCAAUGUCAUGAUGCUUCAAUCUGUUAAAAUCAUGUGGCUGAGCAGCACCCAUAUCUCCUCCUUACCUGAAACAUUCUGUGAUCUGCAGAACUUGGAGAGUCUGAUGCUCGAUAAUAAUUUUCUCACAAUCCUGCCGCAAUCAUUUGGAAAACUACAAAAGCUAAAAAUGCUUAAUCUCUCAUCCAACUCCUUUGAAGAUUUCCCUCAGGUUAUUAUCAAAAUCGCUAGUUUGGAGGAGUUGUAUUUAAGCCGUAAUAAACUGACCUUCCUCCCCGAGGAGGUAGGACAGCUCUGUAAUCUCACUAAUUUGUGGUUGGACAAUAAUAGGAUAACGUUUCUUCCAGAUUCUAUUGUAGAGCUGGGGAAAUUAGAGGAGCUAGUGUUACAGGGUAACCAAAUUGCCAUACUUCCCGACAAUUUUGGAAAACUUGCCAAAGUUAACAUUUGGAAGGUGAAGGAUAAUCCUCUCAUUCAGCCUCCGUAUGAAGUGUGCAUGAAAGGGAUCCCCUACAUAGCUGCCUAUCAGAAGGAGCUUGCACACUCCCAGACUGCUGUAAAACCCAGACUGAAACUUGUUAUGAUGGGCCAGAAAAGUGCAGGGAAAACCACACUCAGGCAAUGCAUUGUCAGUAAACCAUCAGACACCAAGGUGGCUAUUGGUGGUAGGGGAAUUGAUGUUACAAACUGGGUAGCGGAUGUUGAUCGUAGUCUUACAUUUAUUGUGUAUGAUUUAUCAGGUAAACAGAACUACGAUCUUAUCAAACCCUUUUUCCUCUCACCUGGAGCUCUUUAUGUUUUGGUGGUUAAUUUGAAAUCAUAUACAUCAAAGAGCUUUUACACUCAUAUUGGGUGUUUUCUCCACCUGCUCAGUGCCAAGGUGCCACAUGCUGUUGUGUGCAUUGUGGGGACCCACUCUGACCUUUGUAAGGAGUUUGAGAUUGAAGAAAUGUGCCUGGAUAUUCACAGACAGAUUUCACUCCAGGAAAAGAUGGACACUGAGUGCUUGCGAGUGCUUGACUUGCAGUUAGAAAAAGCCCUUGAACAGGGUUAUGAUGUCCGAACCUGUAGCCCCCAUGUGCUCUUUUAUGGGGUCUCGGAUAAAAACUUGAGACGUAAGAAGUCCCAGUUGCAAUAUAUGCUGAACAAUCGAUUACAAAUCCUGUCUCCAGUAAUUUCUGUCAGCUGUGUGGCAGCACAAAGGAACAUCCAGCACUUGAAAGAGAAGCUCAUGAUGGUUGCUGAUCACAAGGAGAUUUUCCCCAACCUUCAUAGAGUGCUACCCAAAUCAUGGCAGAUGCUUGAGGAGCUGCAUUUUAAGCCACAGGAUUUAUGGCUUUCCUGGUGGGAUUCGGCCCGAUUGGGCUUGCAGGCAGGGCUGACGGAGGACCGUCUGCAAAGUGCUCUCUCCUACCUACACGAGAGCGGUAAACUUUUGUACUUUGAAGACAGCUUGACACUGAAGGAAUAUGUCUUCCACAAUCUGCCACGGUUUAUUGCCAUCUUGAAUGUAUUUUUUCAGAGGGACCUCACGACAAUGCUUGAGAAACUUGAAGCUGAGGGAGAUGAUGAAGUGAGUGCCAGAUCCACACAGAUGCACAGUCAUGUGGACGGUUUUCUGUCGCACGGCCUGCUGCCAUCAAAUGUCAUUCGUUUGCUGCUUAAACCCUUAGUACAGACACAGCAGGACUUGCAUCUGAUCAUGGAACUGCUGGAAAAGAUGGGGGUCUGCUACUGUGUCAACAAACCUCACAAUAAGCCACUUAAUGGAGCCACCGUCUGGUAUAAGUUCCCCAGUCAGGUCAGCAAUGAGGAGCCCCAUACUGAGGCCUUGGCCAGUGGGGGUUCGUCCAUACCUGGUCAGUUCUUCUCAGUCGAACAACUGCAGAUUGAAUAUAGGUUUCCUUUUCUAACCCCUCUUGGACUUUUUGCUCGAUAUAGUGUGCAAAUCAACAGCCUCGUGGUGCAGCGAUCCGACGGAAAGCAUCACAUCUUUGCGUAUCGGGGUAAAGUGCCUGUGACUGUGAGUUACCAGCCCUCUCAGAACAGAUUGCAGGCUGGGACCCUCUCGAUUUCCAGCCAUGCAUCCUUGCCAAAUAUCUGGACAGCUUGGCAAGCCAUUAUUCCUCUAGUGGAAGAGUUAAACUUUCUUCUGCAGGAAUGGCCUGGCCUUCACUACUCUGUGCAUGUCCUGUGUUCCAAGUGCCUGAAGAGAGGGUCUCCAAACCCACAUUCCUUUCCAGGUGAACUGUUAAGCCAGCCCCGACCUGAGGGGCUGACUGAGAUCAUUUGCCCCAAAAACGGCACGGAGCGGGUCAGCGUGGCACUAGUUUACCCUCCAACCCCAACUGCAGUCAGCCCUAGUCAUAAAUGACACUUACUUUUCGGAACUUACCUGCCGGUGAAUGGCCUCCACAAACAGAUGCACCUCUUUUUCCUAUAUCUUAUAUGCACACGUGUACAUACACAAGAGUGUGUGUUUGUGUUUGCAAACACAUAUACUUGUUUUGACACAUGCGUGUGCCCCACUUACUUGUUGCCUCUGCCCUUGAUGACGGUGAUGACAGACCACUUAAUGGAUGAUUGUCAUAGGGAGACCAUAAUACUUACAUGUUAUCAGCUCUGACUGCCAACACAUGAUAAACUGAACAUAUUGGAAACACGUUGCAGUGACAACUCGUUUCAUUUAUGUACACCAAUUGUUCCUUGGGCCCUCUGAAAAGCCUUUUAAUCACUUUGAGUCUCAACUCCACUGGCUCAGCACGAUGGUCUGAACCUUUCAGCUCAAUUUAAGUUCUUGGAAAUCACCAAUUGUACCCAGAGGCAUCUCUUAGACUGAAACUACAUCUUGUCUGUGCUGUUGUGGGUGAAUCUGCUGAACGAAAUAGGAAAUUGUUUCGCCCAGACAUGAGUGUACUUUGAUUAGUGGUGAAAAGUUGGAAUUAUGCUUUAAGUGUUCUCGGAUGUCAAAUGCAUCCCUUUGAAAUGCAGAGAAAUAAAAAGACAUUUAAAAUAGAGAAAUGUAUUAGCGGAGGACUCUUAAUAGUUAAGUUGUAUCCAACAUGCAAGUACAGAAAUGUUGUCUGGUUGAGCAUAAACCUUUUUGAUCUCUAGUAAUCGUCUGCAUUCAGACAUAUUUUUUUUUUAGGGUGGUGAAGAUAACAAAUUUAAAAUUAUUUUAAUGGCAGCCAAAGACAUAAAAAUGUUUCCCUGAACCAUUCUGUUGUUCUUUAUUUCUUUCUCUCUUUCUUUCUCCCAUAUAUUCAUUAACAUGACUAUUUUUUAUAAUGGCAAGGUGAUGUUUUGUUCCUUGCCUUUGGAUACAUAUGAACAGGAAUAGUGAUGUACUGUCGCAGAUGUACAAUAAAUCAGCCAAGGAUGUCUUCUCUUCUUGAAG
RNA transcript from Xyrauchen texanus (razorback sucker), 4369 nucleotides. It is a transcript of the gene named malignant fibrous histiocytoma-amplified sequence 1 homolog, with no coding region annotated. The record is from RefSeq and is a predicted model, not a curated record. Lineage: Eukaryota; Metazoa; Chordata; Actinopteri; Cypriniformes; Catostomidae. The transcript has 3 exons.